CCUACGGGAGGCAGCAGUGGGGAAUAUUGCACAAUGGGGGAAACCCUGAUGCAGCCAUGCCGCGUGUGUGAAGAAGGCCUUCGGGUUGUAAAGCACUUUCAGUCGUGAGGAAAGGGGUGUAGUUAAUAACUGCAUCCUGUGACGUUAGCGACAGAAGAAGCACCGGCUAACUCCGUGCCAGCAGCCGCGGUAAUACGGAGGGUGCAAGCGUUAAUCGGAAUUACUGGGCGUAAAGCGUGCGUAGGCGGAUUAUUAAGUCAGAUGUGAAAUCCCGGGGCUCAACCUCGGAACUGCAUUUGAAACUGGUAGUCUAGAGUAUUGUAGAGGGUGGUGGAAUUUCCAGUGUAGCGGUGAAAUGCGUAGAGAUUGGAAGGAACAUCAGUGGCGAAGGCGGCCACCUGGACAAAUACUGACGCUGAGGCACGAAAGCGUGGGGAGCG
RNAcentral lists this ribosomal RNA (440 nucleotides) under uncultured bacterium. RNAcentral's name for it is "bacterial SSU rRNA". It matches the Rfam family "Bacterial small subunit ribosomal RNA", at positions 338 to 770 of the family's 1533-position model. The record is from RNAcentral.